Molecule: long non-coding RNA, 930 nt
Organism: Neofelis nebulosa (Clouded leopard)
Lineage: Eukaryota; Metazoa; Chordata; Mammalia; Carnivora; Felidae
Exons: 3
Source: RefSeq, a predicted model, not a curated record
UGCCCCUCCCCUGCUCUGGCACACUCUCUUGCUCUCUCACUCUCAAAAUAAAUAAAUAAACUUAAGAAAAAAGAUAUAAAAAACAAAGCUAGAGUGUGGGGUGUAGAUACAUUAGCAAAAGUAAAAGCAGAGAGGAGCGAAAUAGUAUGCAGACAGGGCAAUCUGGUGAGCUCAGUAACACCAGGUAGUAAGUGAAGUAAAUGCCCGCAGAUGAGCCUGGAGGGCUGAGGAAAGAACAGCACUACAAUGAGGACUUUAUAUGCCCGGCUAUGACAGGUGGACUCAAUUCUAUAGAUCAGUGUUUCUCACGGUUGAGAAAACAGCGUGCAACCUCACACUGUGAGUUAACUGAAGAAAAUGAGAAACUGUGUCCUAUUUCUCAAAUGUGCCUAAAUAUUACUAGUAAGUAUCUCACAGAGAGAUGGCGCUCAAGAUGGGACUGAGUGAACACCAAGGUUUCCCAACUUGGGCACUAUUGCCAUUUUGGGCCAAGUAAUUCUUCCUUGUUGGGGAAGAUACUCUUGCACUGCAGCGUGUUUAGUAGCAUCCUUGCCUCUGUAUACAACAUACCGCUUCAGAAUAUUGACACACGAUAAGAAACGAUAAAAAAGGCAAUCUUCUUGAAAUGAAAAUGCACAUAACCUGCGGUGCCUUCUGUUCAUAGAUGUAUUUCUCAGAAGACUAUGCUGCUCAGGGAAGGAUUAAGGGUACACAGUGCAAAGCAUCUCCCAUCACGACUCCUUAAGAAGUAUGGAAGCCCUGCAAGCAGCGAUGCUGCUGGUAGAAAUGCCGAACAACGGUUCUAUUUCAUAUGUAAUGGCAUCAUCUCCUGAGUCACUGAAUUGAUGGCCGGUACAACCAUUUGCUUAAGGCUGUGUUUUAUGUCACUUCGCUAAGCCUAAAAAGUUACCUAAAUGGAUGUUACCUGAA